Molecule: ribosomal RNA, 440 nt
Filed under: uncultured bacterium
Lineage: Bacteria
Description: partial 16S ribosomal RNA
Rfam family: Bacterial small subunit ribosomal RNA
Source: RNAcentral
CCUACGGGCGGCAGCAGUGGGGAAUAUUGCACAAUGGGGGAAACCCUGAUGCAGCGACGCCGCGUGAGUGAAGAAGUAAUUCGUUAUGUAAAGCUCUAUCAGCAGGGAAGAAAAUGACGGUACCUGAGUAAGUAGCCCCUGCGAACUACGUGCCAGCAGCCGCGGUAAAACGUAGGGCGCAAGCGUUAUCCGGAUUUAAUGGGUGGAAAGGGAGCGUAGACGGCUGUGCAAGUCUGGAGUGAAAGGUGGGGGGUGAACCCCCGGAGUGCUCUGGAAACUGUACGGCUGGAGUGCGGGAGAGGUAAGUGGAAUGCCUAGUGGAGCGGUGAAAUGCGUAGAUAUUAGGAAGAACACCAGUGGCGAAGGCGGCUUACUGGACUGUAACUGACGUUGAGGCUCGAAAGCGUGGGGAGCAAACAGGAUUAGAUACCCGGGUAGUC